UACGUAGGGUGCAAGCGUUGUCCGGAAUUAUUGGGCGUAAAGAGCUCGUAGGCGGUUUGUCACGUCGGCUGUGAAAACCCGGGGCUCAACCCCGGGCCUGCAGUCGAUACGGGCAAACUAGAGUUCGGCAGGGGAGACUGGAAUUCCUGGUGUAGCGGUGAAAUGCGCAGAUAUCAGGAGGAACACCGGUGGCGAAGGCGGGUCUCUGGGGGUGUGCAGACGCUGAGACACGAAAGCCAGGGGAGCGAACGGG
This 253-nucleotide ribosomal RNA is filed under the name uncultured bacterium. RNAcentral's name for it is "partial 16S ribosomal RNA". It matches the Rfam family "Bacterial small subunit ribosomal RNA", at positions 524 to 776 of the family's 1533-position model. The record is from RNAcentral.